AAUAACAUAAUAGCCGUUUUCAGUCACUCCUGAAAUGCUUCUGGAGCGGGGCCCUAUAAAAAUGGACUUUUUCUCAUCAAACACUCCACUACAAAGUACCCUGCGGAACUCCAAAGAAUCGACAUUUUCACUAGAAGGGGAAACCUCAUUGCAGUUUAGAGGAUCCAUUUGCGGAACUCCAAGGAAUCCACAUUUUCACUAGAAGGGGAAAUCUCAUUGCAGUUUAAAGGAUCCAUUCGCAAUCUAUUUUGUCUAUACUCAAGCAUUUCAAUCUGCAAAUAG
Molecule: long non-coding RNA, 282 nt
Filed under: Nicotiana benthamiana
Lineage: Eukaryota; Viridiplantae; Streptophyta; Magnoliopsida; Solanales; Solanaceae
Description: long non-coding RNA (NBEN_LNC018418)
Source: RNAcentral